Molecule: ribosomal RNA, 450 nt
Filed under: uncultured Glomeromycotina
Lineage: Eukaryota; Fungi; Glomeromycota
Description: SSU rRNA
Rfam family: Eukaryotic small subunit ribosomal RNA
Source: RNAcentral
AGCAGCCGCGGUAAUUCCAGCUCCAAUAGCGUAUAUUAAAGUUGUUGCAGUUAAAAAGCUCGUAGUUGAAUUUCGGGAUCAGUACGCUGGUCGUGCCUCGGUACGUACUGGCAUUGUUGGUUUCUCCCUUCUGACGAACCAUGAUGUCAUUAAUUUGGUGUCAUGGGGAAUCAGGACUGUUACUUUGAAAAAAUUAGAGUGUUUAAAGCAGGCUCACGCUUGAAUACAUUAGCAUGGAAUAAUGAAAUAGGACGUUUGAUUCUAUUUUGUUGGUUUCUAGGAUCGACGUAAUGAUUAAUAGGGAUAGUUGGGGGCAUUAGUAUUCAAUUGUCAGAGGUGAAAUUCUUGGAUUUAUUGAAGACUAACUACUGCGAAAGCAUUUGCCAAGGAUGUUUUCAUUAAUCAAGAACGAAAGUUAGGGGAUCGAAGACGAUCAGAUACCGUCGUAGU